Molecule: long non-coding RNA, 364 nt
Filed under: Homo sapiens (human)
Lineage: Eukaryota; Metazoa; Chordata; Mammalia; Primates; Hominidae
Description: HSALNT0199523
Source: RNAcentral
GAUAAUAAGGGUUCAGUCUUGGAUGGCAGGUGGCACCCAAAUGUAAGUUAGAAUUAUUAUUGAUCUCACCCUGGCUGGGCAAGAUGAUAAGAGAGUAAGCUCAAUACCAAAGUUAUUUUCCUCUUCGUUGACUCCCUGACAUUUUCUCCCCUAACCUGAACUUCACAGGAACACCAAUUACCUUCACAUGUGAUGGGAUUCACUUACCUGGGGAGGAGUGGAGGGAAGAGGAAUCUACCCUGGUACUCCAGUAACAAACCCUGGCGUGGACAGUGGAAGCUGAACCUCCACUGAGUAUGAAAAGAGAGGAAGACAGCUGCUGGAUCUGGAAACUUUCAAAUGCAUAAUGAAACAGAGUAUGAGG